RNAcentral lists this transfer RNA (66 nucleotides) under Nihonogomphus lieftincki. RNAcentral's name for it is "tRNA-Ile". The record is from RNAcentral. Lineage: Eukaryota; Metazoa; Arthropoda; Insecta; Odonata; Gomphidae.
AAUAAAGUGCCUGAUAAAAGGAUUAUUUUGAUAGAAUAAAUCAUGUGAUUUUAAUCACCUUUAUUA